Molecule: non-coding RNA, 1297 nt
Organism: Danio rerio (zebrafish)
Lineage: Eukaryota; Metazoa; Chordata; Actinopteri; Cypriniformes; Danionidae
Source: RefSeq, a predicted model, not a curated record
UGUUAUGCAUUAUUUAACAGUUGUUGAAGACAAACAAGGGGGUAUGUUUCUCAAAGUGCACGCGCGUGGAAGCCAGACAUUAUGGACUGGAGUAGAACGGGGUUGGAGGGCGUUUUUAGGUAGUAUAUAGCGGUUUUCAAGGAUACACGCUAGAUUGAACAGCGAUUGAGUAUUACACCACAAAGGCACUGAAAACACUGCGAGGGACGUUUGAGCAGGUGAUCGGGUUUCUCCUCUGGCCCAUCAGCUGAAUAGGUGGGGCUUGAUCAAUGGCAGGAAACUGAAGGAUCAAAUGACAUAAAAUGGUGCCAGGCUGCGACAUGAAGGCAGAGGCUGUGAAACCGUACCCUCAUCAUCAGACUGUACAGUAGAAAGACAGAAUCACAAUCCUGGUGAAAGCAGGGCAUAAAAACACUGCUGCAUGAUAAGGAGCUGCGCAGGGACUUUGAACAUUUUAUUAGUAUCUAUAAAAGAGGCACAAGACGACGGACACACUGUCUAUAAAGCCCUAAUGGAGGAUCAAUUAAGAUGGUCAAGCUGCAGAAAGAGACUUUUACAGUGUAGGGUUUUAACACUAAACUUGUCCUUUCACACUAACGCUGAAACCACAAGACUGGAAAAUGCAGUGCAGGUUUAAUUCCAGCGCAUCUAGCAAUAUAUUGAGAUCACUAACAGUAAACAAGUUUGUUCUGGUGUAAAUAUAAAAUCAAGCAGAUUAAGAAUGACAGAAGGGUUGAGCUUACAUGUUUUAUGGGGACUUUCCAUGGACAUUCAUUUUUAUGUUGUUCAAACCGUAUGCAAUCCCUAAGUCUAAACUUAACCUGAAAGAAAUAAUUUUGCAUUCUUGUUAAGAAAACCUAGUUUACUGUGUUUUAUAAGCUGUACUUCACAAAAAAAGCCUAGCAGCAUUGGAAAUCCCCAAAGCACACAUUUAAUUUUUUUUUAUUAUUUAUCAGUCAAAAAUAAGACGUAUCUUUUUUUUGUCUACAUCAAAUUGAAUUUGUAAUUUUAUACACACAGAAAUAAUUUUGUGCAUCCACAAUUAAAGUGUCUAUCUCAAUGUUUCAGAUGACUUUAGUGAAAAAUAAAAUGUCAAAAUACUGCCAUAAUAAAAUGCAUAUUUUAAAUAAUAAUUUUUUUUCUAGUUGACAAAUGUGUAAAGAAAAGUGGAAAUAUGAAUACAAAAAUAUUAAAUUCAAUUAAUUUUUAUUUUAGGGCACAGUGAUCCUUAAAUAAAGUUUUUCUUUAAUAUAUUAUACAAUUAUUAUUGUACUAAAAACACCUGAUAAAAAAAGAA